GCCCAAGAGAUCGGGAUAACACCUGGAAACAGAUGCUAAUACCGGAUAACAACAGAUGAUGCCUAUCAACUGUUUAAAAGAUGGUUCUGCUAUCACUCUUGGAUGGACCUGCGGUGCAUUAGCUAGUUGGUAAGGUAACGGCUUACCAAGGCGAUGAUGCAUAGCCGAGUUGAGAGACUGAUCGGCCGCAUUGGGACUGAGACACGGCCCAAACUCCGUACGGGAGGCAGCAGUG
RNAcentral lists this ribosomal RNA (235 nucleotides) under uncultured Lactobacillus sp. Its description in RNAcentral is "partial 16S ribosomal RNA". It matches the Rfam family "Bacterial small subunit ribosomal RNA", at positions 128 to 356 of the family's 1533-position model. Lineage: Bacteria; Bacillati; Bacillota; Bacilli; Lactobacillales; Lactobacillaceae. The record is from RNAcentral.